Molecule: long non-coding RNA, 553 nt
Organism: Adelges cooleyi (spruce gall adelgid)
Lineage: Eukaryota; Metazoa; Arthropoda; Insecta; Hemiptera; Adelgidae
Exons: 5
Source: RefSeq, a predicted model, not a curated record
CUCCGAACGGAUAAACGUGAAACGUGUCUUAAAUAUUAACGGAAAAAGUAUUUUCUAUGGUCAGUGUUUGCGGUUGGGUUUUGGAGUUGAAAAAGUAACGUUCUUUCGGCUGUUCCCAGUGGGUAUACCUACUCUGCGACACUUUCGUUUGCCGGCGUUGUGGAAGUUCUGUCGUCUCAUGAAGUCCACAAUUAAAUUUUCUGUGGCCGUCGAAAAAUCUCUGCGGUUAAGUUAUUCAUUUUGAUGCUGAUUGAAGGAUAGUUUGCUUUCUAAUGUUACCACUUCAUUUUUCUACGUUGGAUUCACCAAUUUGAGAAGACUGUUAAUCUGUGAUACGAUACAAGCCAAAUAUUUUGACCGUUGGAAACGACCAGUAUUGUGUCUGUUGAUUUCCAUGCCUGCCGAAAAAUGAUAAGAAUGCCAAAUUGGAUGCAAGAUCACUUUGUUGAUGUUACAAACUCAUUUAGCAAAUUAUAAAACUAAUAACUUAUUAUUUAUAUUUUUAACUGCCAAUUUUAAAAUAAUUGUAUGAUUGUUGAUGUAAAAUAUUUCA